Long non-coding RNA from Anneissia japonica, 1671 nucleotides. RefSeq lists it as uncharacterized. The record is from RefSeq and is a predicted model, not a curated record. NCBI's taxonomy places the organism in Eukaryota, Metazoa, Echinodermata, Crinoidea, Comatulida, Comatulidae. The transcript has 5 exons.
GGCAACCCUGGCGGGUUCUUCAAACGGCGAAAAACAAAUGUUCAACGAUUGAUACAUGAAAAUGAGUGAUGGUGCCACUGACGGGCAUCCAUUUUGAUGACUUGACAUGGAGGCUGAUUUGACAGGAGGAUGCCAGAAUCUGCUGGGUCAUUGCCAUCACAAGCAAGGUUGUCUUUGAUGUCGAGGAGGUACACACUGCUACUAGAUUACCAGGCAAAGUGUUUAGUCUCCAAAUGUCAAUAUUCACCACAUACCUGCAAAUUAGAGUAGAUCCUCAGAUUGAAGAAAACCUAAAAGAGUUUAACAGGAAGUGUGAGAGGAGACUGAAUCAGCAAUUCAUGAGAACGUACUUAAAAUAUGCCGAAUGAUUCCAACAUCAACAGAGAACUUACGGUCAUUUCAAGGAAUGUGUUUUCCAUUUUCAUGGAGCCGAUUCUGAAGGCAACACCCUAAAACAAUUUUGGAAAAUGUUUCACAGUACCGUACACAAUGGAAUUGUCAGGUUUACAAUAGACAGAAAUGUAUACCUCUUGAUUCGCUCAACAUCGGAAUAUUUUAAGUUCAAACUAGAUGAGGUGGCUGCAUUUAAAGCAAACUCCUGAAAAAGGCAAACAUCCUUUGACUCAUGAACACAUAGAGCACAGAGCAAUAUUGUAUGCUUGCAAAUUACCCCCACCCCCCAUCAGGAAGUGAUCUGACGGGGGGUGGGGGUGUGGACCCUUGUCGGGGAAUUCCUGGCAUCGCUCUUGGUCUGUAAGACAAAGAUCUAUCUGUUUAAAGUACAUAUAUGUGCAUCAUGAGCUCUUUGUAGCAGUGUAUCUAGGAGUCUUAAAAUAAGGGAGGGGCUAGAUGAUUGGGAGACAGGGUGCUAACUCACAAAAAAAAAGUUUAUAUUAGGUAAUUUUUAAUUACUUGAAUGUAAUUUUUUUUCCAUCAAACAUUCCUGUAGAGGUGUGGGGGUCGUGGGUUUGCGUCACUAAUAAAAAUAGCAUUCCCAAAGCUUUAGAAUGAGUUAGGCGUAUACAUAUUCAUAUUUUUAUUUUAGUUUGAUUAGAAAAAUGAUUGCAAGUAAAUUAUAAUUUUCAUUAUAUUGUCGAUAAUCAUGGUCAUAUGUCAGCACGGUGUGAAUGUUAAGUUAAUAACUUUCGUUAAAAAUUAUGCAUUUGUUUUGUACUUACGAAUAUGAUUAUCGUUCUUGUAUGACACAGAUGCAGUUUAACAGAUAUGAUAGUUAUUUGUUGAAAAUAAUUAUACAGAUAACAUUAUUUUUAAAAACAAGUAACAACAUUAUUGAUGGUAAUGACAACUGUAGCAAAUAAUAUUUGCAGAUAUGUUUUAACAAAUAUGAUAACUAUUUUUUUUGUGAUGUAGCCAUUUAUUAUCAUUUUUGUAUCUACAGUAUUAUUACUUUUAUGAUCAAGAAACAUUUAAAGAUAUAUUCUAAAUGAAAAAAAUGUUUAAACCUUGAUCUUUAUAUACUGUUAUUUGCUUUUUGCGCUGAAAUAUAGUUUAAGUAUUAUUUCAUUUCUGAUAAAUGGGUGUAGAGAGUUCUUGUCAAAGUUAAUUCAUUAUUGUAUUCUUAACAUGAGAAUAGUUAUUAUUUAAGCAAGACUGUAGUGGUAGGAAUAUUUUCCAGUUUCAUUGAAUAAAUAACCACAGAAACUUGUUAAA